This 497-nucleotide ribosomal RNA is filed under the name uncultured bacterium. RNAcentral's name for it is "partial 16S ribosomal RNA". It matches the Rfam family "Bacterial small subunit ribosomal RNA", at positions 28 to 507 of the family's 1533-position model. The record is from RNAcentral.
GAUGAACGCUGGCGGCGUGCCUAAUACAUGCAAGUCGAGCGAACAGAUAAGGAGCUUGCUCCUUUGAAGUUAGCGGCGGACGGGUGAGUAACACGUGGGUAACCUACCUAUAAGACUGGGAUAACUUCAGGAAACCGGAGCUAAUACCGGAUAACAUUUAGAACCGCAUGGUUCUAAAGUGAAAGAUGGUUUUGCUAUCACUUAUAGAUGGACCCGCGCCGUAUUAGCUAGUUGGUAAGGUAACGGCUUACCAAGGCGACGAUACGUAGCCGACCUGAGAGGGUGAUCGGCCACACUGGAACUGAGACACGGUCCAGACUCCUACGGGAGGCAGCAGUAGGGAAUCUUCCGCAAUGGGCGAAAGCCUGACGGAGCAACGCCGCGUGAGUGAUGAAGGGUUUCGGCUCGUAAAACUCUGUUAUUAGGGAAGAACAAAUGUGUAAGUAACUGUGCACAUCUUGACGGUACCUAAUCAGAAAGCCACGGCUAACUACGUG